RNAcentral lists this ribosomal RNA (406 nucleotides) under uncultured bacterium. RNAcentral's name for it is "partial 16S ribosomal RNA". It matches the Rfam family "Bacterial small subunit ribosomal RNA", at positions 30 to 526 of the family's 1533-position model. The record is from RNAcentral.
AUUGAACGCUGGCGGCAGGCCUAACACAUGCAAGUCGAACGAGUGGCGGACGGGUGAGUAAUGUCUGGGAAACUGCCUGAUGGAGGGGGAUAACUACUGGAAACGGUAGCUAAUACCGCAUACCAUCGGAUGUGCCCAGAUGGGAUUAGCUAGUAGGUGGGGUAAAGGCUCACCUAGGCGACGAUCCCUAGCUGGUCUGAGAGGAUGACCAGCCACGCUGGAACUGGGACACGGACCCGACUCCUACGGGACGCAGCAGUGAGGAAUAUUGCACAAUGGGCUCAAGCCUGAUGCAGCCAUGCCGCGAGUAUGAAGAAGGCAUUCGGGUUGUAAAGUACUUUCCGCGGGGAGGCGUUACCCGCAGAAGAAGCACCGGCUAACUCCGUGCCAGCAGCCGCGGUAAUUC